UAAAUCUUAUUGUUUACUAAAGCUUAGUCAACCAAAAGUUCAUAACGAACAAUAGUGAAUGGCAACUUGAGCCAGUCACUGGAAGACCAUAUCGUGACUACUAAAAUCACUGCACGACCCUGCUCAUCUCUGAUUAGAACAUGUGCCGCAAUGUUGCCGGACUUUGCACGCAUCCAUUGGCAGCGCCAAUGCAAUGUUUACUCAUGCAUGUACACGUGAGAGUGUGUGUGUUUGUGGAACAAAAACCUAUACAGACUUAGGCGGAGGAGAAUCAAAGUGCUUAAUUGCAUUUAAUGGGACACUCUUUAUGCAAGUGGCAAAUGCCGGACAGGCAAAGCAAACAACUGAACUGCCUCACUUCGCAAACGAUGGCGACGUCGGUUGUCUGCUCCAGUGAUAAGACACAGCCACAGACGACACCGCAUGUUUGCCCGAACAAGACCCUACACAAGUUUCGUUCUGUGCACUUAAAAGUACACAUGCUUAUCCUCCCAAGCUCCACUCGCCACCAUCCAUCCCUUAGAACGGAAUGGUAGGGCGUUAUAUGGGGUGUAGUGUGGAGGGGGCGACGACAGCGGCAGCGUAGCGUAACCAAAGGCGCAUGCAAAUUUACAGAAAAGGCACACAAAAUGUGACAAACGACCUUCAGAAUAGUGGGGGAGGAGUGGCGGGCAGACAGACAGAAACAUCAUCCUUAGCAUGAAAAACAGGCAGGCGGCAGGCCAGGCCGCUCUGGCUGGCACAUCUGCAUACAUAUAUAAUUGAAGAAAUCAAGGCGCUAAUGAACAACGCUCGGCUCGGCUGCCGCUCUUUUUCUCCUCUCCGGCAAACAAAUCGAUAUUUCCGAAUGGUGCCCCAGGAACAGAACGGAACGGAGCGGAGCCGGCCAAUCUGACGAGCGCACGACACGCGCUCCCAAGGGGCAAGCAACAGCAGCCCUUGGUCUGAUUGUACUUUGUGUAAUUGUAUUAGCCGAUUAAGUGGAAAUUUACUGCCUUGGCCGGGAGCACGAUGAUCAAUGUUUAAUGUGGUCAGUCGGACGGUGCGUCGGCUAUGGUGGAUUGAAUUGGUUUUGGCAUUUGGCUACCAAACGCUACUCACUCUCACUAAUCUUCUUGUUUCAAGCGAUUACUUUCUCCAGUUUUCUGCCGGCACGGUGUCAUAAACUUCCAAGCUUGAGAAAAAAAUUACUCUAUAUUUCACGAAUAAAAAUGAUCGGAAUGUCAAAAA
Long non-coding RNA from Drosophila pseudoobscura, 1230 nucleotides. RefSeq lists it as uncharacterized. Lineage: Eukaryota; Metazoa; Arthropoda; Insecta; Diptera; Drosophilidae. The record is from RefSeq and is a predicted model, not a curated record. The transcript has 2 exons.